UACGUAGGUGGCAAGCGUUACUCGGAAUCACUAGGCGUAAAGCGCAGGUAGGAGGUUUGGUAAGUCUCUUGUGAAAGCUCCCGGCUUAACUGGGAGAGGUCAAGGGAAACUACUAGGCUAGAGUGCGGUAGAGGUAGCUGGAAUUCCCGGUGUAGCGGUGAAAUGCGUAGAUAUCGGGAGGAAUACCUAUGGCGAAAGCAGGCUACUGGACCGUCACUGACUCUGAUCUGCGAAAGCUAGGGGAGCAAACAGG
This 253-nucleotide ribosomal RNA is filed under the name uncultured bacterium. RNAcentral describes it as "partial 16S ribosomal RNA". It matches the Rfam family "Bacterial small subunit ribosomal RNA", at positions 524 to 776 of the family's 1533-position model. The record is from RNAcentral.